RNAcentral lists this non-coding RNA (148 nucleotides) under Gorilla gorilla gorilla (western lowland gorilla). The record is from Rfam by way of RNAcentral. Lineage: Eukaryota; Metazoa; Chordata; Mammalia; Primates; Hominidae.
GCUGGGCGUGGUGGCACGUGCCUGUAAUCCCACCUACUUGGGAGGCUGAGGCUGGGGAAUCGCUUGAACCCAGGAGACAGAGGUUGCAGUGAGCUGAGAUCACGCCACUGCAUUCCAGCCUGGGUGACAGAGCGAGACUCUGCCUCAA